AUGAGGGAGAUCUACCGACUCCACGGGCUACCGUUAGCCAUCAUCUCUGACAGAGAUCACAUAUUCACAAGCAAUAUAUGGCAGGAACUCUUCAAGCUCUGUCGGACUGAGCUGAAACUCAGUUCAGCUUACCACCCGCAAACAGAUGGACAAACCGAAAGAGUGAAUCAAUGUCUCGAAGCUUAUUUGUGGUGUGCUGUGCAUUCAUGUCCUGGGAAUUGGUCCAAGUGGUUAGCUCUUGCGGAGUAUUGGAAUAACACCUCGUUUCACUCAUCGUUGGGCAGGACUCCGUUUGAGGUGAUCUAUGGACACCUGCCGCGGGAGUUUGGAGUCACUCAAGUGGAUACAUGCACGGUCCCAGAUCUGGCAGCCUGGCUUCAAGAAAGGCAGGUGAUGAUGGAACUUCUUCAGCAGCAGCUCAAGAGAGCCCAGGACAGAAUGAAGCUACAAGCUGAUCGGAAACGCACAAGGGAGUUUGCGGUGGGAGAUGCUGUGCUCCUCAAGUUCCAACCAUUCAUCCAAACAUCAGUAGCGCAACGACCGCAUCAAAAGUUGGCAUUCCGAUACUAUGGUCCCUAUCGAGUGCUCGCUCGGGUGGGGGUUGUCGCCUACAAGCUCCAGAUGCCAGCGGGCAGCAAGAUACAUCCGGUGGUUCAUGCGUCACAGCUAAAGAAGGCGGAAGGAGCAACGGUACCUGUCAGUUCUGACCUCCCUCCUUAG
This 720-nucleotide ribosomal RNA is filed under the name Triticum aestivum (bread wheat). RNAcentral describes it as "partial small subunit ribosomal RNA". The record is from RNAcentral. Lineage: Eukaryota; Viridiplantae; Streptophyta; Magnoliopsida; Poales; Poaceae.